ACUGUCACCAGAAUACUGAUAGUAUUGUGAAAAUUAGCAAUAAGCUCUUUUUGUUGUUGUUGUUGUUGUUGUUCUAGAAUAACCAUUUUGUUUUCCCCAACGACUUCUGAGAUACCCAGAAGAUAAAGCUCAUGAAUACCACAGAAAUUUACAUCAAAAAAAGACUGCUUCAGUCACUGAAAUUCUCCAGGCUCAAUAUCUGACAUGCAAAAUGAAAAUUUUUUUACCACCAGAAACCAUCAUAAUGUCUUUUAAACGAACUAUGAAAUUUUGUUUUCAGUGUCCUUAAGAACAGCAAAUGAAAUUGGAGAAAUUAAUUUCUAUACAGCAUAUUUCCUAAUCAAAUAAUACUUUUAUUCAUAUAUUUAUUCAUAUAUUUAUUCUUUAAAUUGUUUGCCAAAAGUCAGAAACACUGAAAUACAGGAUUUCCUUUGAGAAAUUUGGUGAUAGAUUGUGGAAUCACAGAAUCACAUAAUGGCUGAGGAUGGAAGGGACCUUUGAAGCUUAUCUGAUCCACACACCCUGCUCAAGCAAUGCCACUUAGAACAUUUACCCAUGACCAUGUUUGACAGCCUCUCAAAGGAGGCUCUCCCAAAGGAGAGAGACUGCACCACCCCUCUGGGCAACCUGUGUCAGUGCUCAGCCACCAUCACAGUAAAAAACCCUCCUGUGUUUCAGUUUGUGCCCAUUGCUUCUUGUCCUGUUACUGGGCAUCACUGAAAAGGACCUGGCUCUAUUCUCUUUUCACUGUCCCUUUAGGUAUUAAUACACAUUAAUGAGACCCUCUGAAACAUCUCUUUUAUAGACUGAACAGUCCUGCAUCCCUCAGCUUUUCCUCUCAGAAGAGAUGCUCCACACUCUCCAUCAUUUCUGUGGCCCUACUGGGCAGCCCAGAACUGGACUCAGUACUCCUGGUGUGGCCUCACCAGUACUGAAUAGAGGGGAAUGUCUAACUAUAUGCAUCCCGAGCUUGUAGAUUUCUUGGUUUGUCAUGGAGAUUGUAUGCUAACCUAUGAUGAUGACCUGAGGAGUUUCAUCUGAUUCUCCAGAGGUCAAGGGCUGCUCAAACAUUACCUUAUUUUCCAGUUCCAUGUGAAUGCUUUAUUUCAAAUUACAGUAGGUACCAAAAUUUUGGCAAAUGAAUCAUGUCUCAAAUAUGUUUUCUCCCUAAAAUUGCUUUCCUGUAUUUUCUGUUGUCAUAUAGGCUUAUCAUCGAUUAGUGAAAAAAAGAAAAUGUUUAUUAUUAUAUAAAAAUUUCUGCAACAAAUUGAAAAGUAUAUAUAAAGCUCAAGGUCAUAUAAUGUAAAGAACUUCAGAAAUUCACUAAAAAUGCACAACUUUCUUUCACAGUGGAAAGGAUACUAAGAUUAUUGAUAUUAAAUUAAAAGUGCUGAAAUUAAUAUAUGCAGAAGUAUUUAAAAUAGAUAUUAAAUACACAUAUGAAGAUGUUAAACCUAACAUUUAAAAAUAUGAAAUUAUGUCUAUUUAGAGAAAAAACAGUAUGUGAAAUUAGAUUUAAUUACAGGAGAAAACAAACUUCAUGACUGAUAUGUAUGCUUUCAAACUACCAAAAUGUGUAAUGCUAUCUCAUUAAAGUUCCUGUGAAUUGUAAAUGA
This is a non-coding RNA of Anas platyrhynchos (mallard), 1616 nucleotides long. The record is from RefSeq and is a predicted model, not a curated record. NCBI's taxonomy places the organism in Eukaryota, Metazoa, Chordata, Aves, Anseriformes, Anatidae.